Molecule: non-coding RNA, 511 nt
Filed under: Ixodes scapularis (black-legged tick)
Lineage: Eukaryota; Metazoa; Arthropoda; Arachnida; Ixodida; Ixodidae
Description: Eukaryotic small subunit ribosomal RNA
Rfam family: Eukaryotic small subunit ribosomal RNA (bases 1-247)
Source: Rfam by way of RNAcentral
UUCUGGGAGGAUUGACAGAUUGAGAGCUUUUUCUUGAUUCAGUGGAUGGUGGUGCGUGGCCUUUCUUAGUUGGUGGAGCGAUUUGUCUGGUUAACUCCGAUAACGAACGAGACUAGCCUAUUAAAUAGCCCCCCCCCCCCCCCCCGAGAAGGCUUCCAAAAACGCGCAAACAACCGUCUUCUAGCCUCUCCCUUCCCCCUCCCCCCCAAAAGAAAAAGUAGAAAAGAAAGAAAAAUCCAAAAGCUCUAGCCACUGACAAAAUUGACAAAGAUAGGCGAUUCAGAAGGGGAGAAAGCUAAAAAAAACACUACACCCAAGCACAGAAAAAAAAAAAAAAAAACUUUAGCCCAAAGCGAUUGCCUAUGAAGAGAAGUGAUUCAGAAGGGAAGAUAAGCUAAAAAAACAAACUCUGCAUGCAUGCAAAAAAAAAAAAAAAAAUUUUUUUUUUUUUUUAGUGCUUUGUUACAAGGUAGAGGCGAAGAGAUGAGAAAGAAAGAGGAGCUCUCGCCUU